GCCGUGCCAUCGCCACAUAGCUCUUGCCUGCAGUGUGACUAGUCUGUAACACCACACUAUGAAUUAAUAUAAAUAAAAGCAAGUAAGGAGCAUCCAUUGCAGUCACUUAAUUUGCUAUAGAAAUAUGUUUCAUCUUUUAUAUAUAUAUAUGUGUGUGUGUGUUACAAAGACGGGGAAGUUUCAACUAGUAACUCAUUGAUUGAGAAAAAUAUGUUACCAAACCCGAAUCGCACGUUUUUAUUCCUUUACAAGUUGGUAAAGAAAUAGGACAACCGCUUUGGACGACUUUAAUUAGUGUUGAGUAAACAUGAUUAAUUAGCCAUGUCCAAUUGUGUGGUCUCAUAAUUAUUCAUCACAUAUAGUUCUUUUAAUAAAGCACGAAAGAGAUGGUGCACAAAAAUUCAAAGUCAAGCAAAGAAUCAAAUUGCAUAGGUUUGGAUGAUACUACUUUGAUGAAGAAAUUAAAGGGAUGGAAAUUAUACUUUUCUACAUUUCAAGUACUCAUAGGUCAAAAUGGUAGGAAGAUGAAGCUGCAAAGAGUUUAUGUUUAAUUAUAAUUAUUUAUAUUUAAUUAUACAAGAAUAUAUUCAUCAAACAAAUUUUCUUUUGAUUUUUGCACUCUUGAUAUAUAAUUUCAAAGGUUUUAUGCUGAUAAAAUAUGAGAUUAAUUCAGUGGUUCAACUGAUCCAAACAAAGCGAAUUUUGGUACAAUUAAUGUAAUAGAAAUUUUCUUAAACAAUAAAUGGAAAUCAAAUUAAUAGUAAAUUUCAUCAUCUAAUUGAUUUGGUUGACUUUCAACUAAGGUUUGAUUUAAUGAAUACAUAUAUAUAUAUAUAUAUAUAUAUAAUUUGAUUUUUCUACUAACAAUAUAUAUAUAUAUAUAUAUAUAUAUAUAUAUAUAUAUAUUAUUAUACAACUAAGCUCGGUGCUUAUUUGAUUUUUCUGAUGCAGAAAGAACUUUUGUAGAGUAAAAGAAAAUUGAUUGAUAGUUUGAUAGAAGAAAUACAGUCCAUAUAUAACAAGGCACUUGCUAUUUGGGGUGCCCUAGAAUUUUUGGCAAUUGAUGAGGAAUUAGUAUAGAAUCAAAAGCCUAUUACUUAAACUCGGAAUAAAUGUAUAUACAUACUCCCCAUUGAGUGUUCGUUUCUUUGAUGAUCUAAGGAGUUGAUAUCAGUCAUAUAUUUUAUAAAAGCUCUUAUAUUGUUCUUGCUCAAAUUAACUUUAAAUUAUUUACUUGUAAAAUGAAUUAUUAUUAAUGUUAAGUAGUCAUAAUUCCUCCUUUUUUUUUUCUUUUUCUUUUGUCUUCUUCAUAAGAAGAAACAUGGCUAAUUAAAGCUCAAAACUCAAUUUUGUUAAUUUUUAAUAUUCUUCUUGGAUUAUCUUCUUCUGAGAUUUAGAGAUAUUUGAUUUGUUAUCUGUAUUUGAUGUUGCCAUGGGUUUUUAUCUUUUUGAAUAAUUUAAGUUUAAUUUCAAUAGGAAUUCUUUAUCUAGAGAUGUAGGUUUUUUAAAAUGUGUUUGAGAAUGUUUUUAUUUAAAAAAAAAUUAGUUAAAUGUUUUUUAUAGAAGUGUUUUUUAGAAAAUUACCUAUCAAGUGCCUCUUCAGAAAGCAUUAUGAGUGAUUUUUUAAUUUUUUAAUCGCAAUGGGCUAGAGUUCUUCUCCCAUAGUGGUUGUUGCAUUGCCCCUAAUGUAUUCCCCCCAAUACAUAUGAGGUCUCUCAAGAUGACAAGUAAUAAAAGAUACAAACUAUUCGCAAACUCCUUAUGCAGGCUUCCCUCCUUGGUGGAAUAUCAUGAGGCUUGACCAAGGAGUUUAUGUGAUUCCCUUUUGUCAUGCGGGAGUAUCCUAUGCUCUAGAUAUUUUAGGAGAGGAGUUCUCUAGCCUUUGGUAUUUGACUCUUCACUAUUUACAUAAAAAAUUGUUAGGUCAUCUCUAUAAAUGUUGAGUCUUUCUCGGUAUUUCAUGUUGAUAGAUCGAUGCUCUUCAAUGGUGCUAAGAAUUGCUAGGUUGGCCAAUAGAUUAAUGGGUACAUUGUUUUCCCUCAAUAUUUGCUCAAUUUGGAAGUUAUCAAACCACUAGCUUCCAAUUUGAGUUAGGUUAGGUAUGCUUCCAUUCAUUCAUCUUUGGCUUUAUAUUGGGUUAAAACUUGGCAAACCAUGAAUUUAUAGUCAAAAUAGACCUAAAGCACUUAUGAGCUUUAAGUAGGUGCAUGGUUUCUAACCUAUAAAGAAGGGCCUUAUACUCGGCUUCAUUAUUGGAUGCUUUGAAACCUAAUGCAAUACUUUUUUCAAUGAUCCCACAUGGAGUUUCUAAAUGAAUUCGAUGUUAGCACCCUUUUAACUAGAGGUUUUAUCCACAUAUAGGCUCAUAUGGAGGUUGUAUACAAUAGAUAGCAAGUCACAGGCCCGAGUUCUUAGUGUCUCAUUUUUAUUUACAUAGGGAUCAAUAGGAGCGCAGUUGACUCAAUGUAGUGGGAUGUUGAGUCAACUUCAAAUUGGAUUCUAAAGGAGCCAAGACUGUCCUAUGGGUCCUAGUGGUCCCCGCUUGAGCUCAUAUACCUUGUUGGGACAGUUUAUGAGGGUUUGAUCGACUCUUGGUUCACUUAUGUGUAUAAGGGUGUUUUGGUAAUUUCGUAAGGUUGCAUAAGAGUUGGUGAACAACAUCUUUAGAUUGGCUUGAUAGAUCGAUUAGACAACCUUAUUUGAUUAAUUAAUCAAUUAUAACCCCUUUAGCUGGAUCAAGUGAUCCAAGCCUAUGGGCUCAAGUCACUUAAGCCUAGUAAGGAUCCUAUAAAUAGCCCCUUAAAGGUUAAGGUUUAAAGUUUUUUCUUCUAUUCAUUCUUUGAAUUUCAAAUAGGGAGUCCUAAUCUCUACCCUCCAAACUUUCACCAUUUGAGUGCCAAGCUUCAAAAUUGAGUCAUCAGGUGGAAGAUCAUGGGUCUACGAGACUUCCAACGACUUCAUUUUGUUCUUCACCAAAAGAAAACAAUUUGGGAAUAUCAAUUGUAAGCACACUAAAUUGUUUUUCAAAAUCCUAUAAAUUUUUUUGAAUGCAUGUAUUCCAAUAUGCAUAGGAUUUAAAAAAGCCUAAGAAGAAAUACAUGUACCUAACCUAAUCCUAAGAUAGGGAAUAGAGCAAUCCAAAAUUCCCUUUAAGAUGUUGGAAUGCAGUUAACUCUCUAUGGAAGAAUGUUGAAUCAACUUCAAAAUUAGAUUUUGAAUGAGCUUCUAUAUCUUUUAUGGCUCACAGUAGUUCCUACUUAAGCUCACACUCCCUGAUGGCAUAUUAUUUUGAGGAAUAAUUUGGGUUUCAAUUUAUAUGUGUGCAUAAGGGUAUUUCAAUAAAAAUGUAAGGUUGCACAAGGGCUUAUAAAUUGUCUUUCUAUAAUCAAUUAAUUAACUAAUUGCAAUCUAAUAAGACUAAUUAAUAAAUUACAACCCAGUGAGUUAGAAUAAGCAAUGCAAGCUCGAGAUAGGCUCAAAUCACUUAAACUUACAAAGAGUCUUAAUAAACACUCUUGUGAUUUAGGGUUAGACAAUCUAGCUUAUUAUUGUCUUCUAGAGAGAACCCUAGCCCCCUGACCGAACUUCUCUAUUGUACCAAAAUAAUUAGUCUUUUUACAUAGCAACUUUGGUCAAGAAAAACUAGAGAAAAAGUCACUACGAGUUUUGUAGUACUCUGGGUAUCAUUCUCAGGGACCGGCUUAUGAAAAUUGUCAAUACUAGAAUAAAUGAAUUGUUUUUGUUUAAAUCCUAAAGUGAAAAACAAUUUGGUAAUUAUCUUUUAUGAAAUGGGAUUGAGUGAAUGAAACUAAAUUAAAAACAAAAUGAAUAUUGAUUUUUAAUUCAAUCAAUUCAAGUUUGGGGCUUUCCACAAUUCAGCUUAAGUUAUAGAAAUAGAGAGAACAAGGGCUUCUUAAGUAAAGUGAUCUUAAGGUUUUGGGAUCCUUGGCCGCUCGGGAUCAACUUGAGUUCUAUAACUCAAAAUUGCAUCCGAAACCUAAUUUUUCAUUUUUUUAAACAAAUUCCUAAAAUCAUCAAAUGAAUGAGAUUGAUUAUCGGUUUAAGAUUUGGCUUUUAACCCUUCCUACUCCUUAUAGCUUUGUUUCGGGGCAAUAACGAUAGGGAAGACGAGGAUAACUAAUGAUAAAAAAUUGCCAAGAAUCACUAGUAUCGGGUAAUAACCUACUGUAUCAUUCCCCAAACUAACUCACAAGGAUAGGAUAAAAAAAUUGAUAAAUUAUCACUCAACCAAUAAUUAAUCUCAUUGUUAUAAUAAUUUACCCAUUGUCCCUAUAGGUUUCCUAGCCCUUAGGUUUUCCUGCUUCAAGCCCCAAGUUGGCUUCUUAGCUUCUCAUGGGGGUGAUGUCACAUUCACAAUCCAUAAUAGGGUAAAAAUCCAUAAUUUGAAUCAAAAGAAACUAAAAACAAUAUAUUUAAUAAAGAAGAAAGAGAAAACAAACCAAAGUUCUCAUCUUCUUCCAUCUUCAAUGUCAAACUCUCCAGAAAAAAAAAAUUUGAAGAUCCUUAAAACCUAUAACUAAGAGAGUUUAUAUAAUAUCAUCAAUUACCUAACAUAUGGCACGCUCUCAUUGGCCACUUAUUAUAAAAUAAUUACCUAAAAAUGAUUAAAAAGUAAUAAAAUUAUGAUUUAUUAUCGUGUGGGGUCCAUUUAGAGCGAAUGAAAUGCCCUAGAUGCAAUUCCCGAGGUAGAGAAGGCAAAACAUCAAAGUGGUAGUGGUUGAAUUCGAAAUUGGGGUCACUUCGAAUUGGAUUUCGAAUUCACAAGUUGGAUUUCGAAAUGGUCCUUCAAUUUUGUACAAUUAUCUUCAAAUGGUCAUAACUUCUUCAUUUCAACUCUGAUUGCACACCAUUUAAAGCAUUGGACUCUUGACUUCCCGAACUUCUAAACAAUAUAUGGUGUGUAUAAAAUGGACUCUAGAAAGUUCUCAAAUUUUGUCCUUAAAUUUAUAGUAUAUGUUGCCACCAGGUUUUGAGUUUUAAAUUUCCAUAUAGUUGAAUCUUGAUUCAUGCCUUUCCCAUGUUUUCUUGCCUUCUUUCUUACUCCACAAUGGUCAGUUCUCGUCUUGCAAACUCAUGAUAUCCUCAUCUUGCAUUUCAUCAUGGUCCAUGAGUCUUGACUCACUUAUUUCCUUAUUUAACCCUUUCUUGAUCUUUUAAAAUCUAAAGUGAUUCAACUCACACCAUUUUCUUCCCUUGAACCUGAGAUAAAUCUUCAAAAUACAAGUUAAACUCAUGGUUAGGGCCUUAGCAUCGAUUCAGGUCAAGUUGGGUGAUUCAAAUGUCCUUUGGUGCACAAAUUAUAUUGAAUAUGUGCCAUUAGAGCACAUAUUUUGGCUCCAAUCACCCUCAUCCCUCUAAAGAGAAUUCACCCUUCUCCAUUGCUAAGAUCCAAGGAAGAAUCAUUAAUUGAAAGAUCUUUAGGUCAUUGAGAUAGUUCUUCAUCAAUUGGAAUAGACAUGGAAACAUCCAAAUCUUAGCUAUGUGAUCUUUAUUAUUUUUUAUUACCUUUAAUAAAUUUUAAAGGCCUAUCAUUAAUUCAUAUUGCACUUAGGAUCUUAGUUGCAUGCACCCUUAAGAGAUCCAAGGCUUGGAUUAGGUUUAUCCAAGAAUCCAACAAGUAGGCUUUUUCUAUUGUUUUGUUGCUUUCUGCCACAUACUUUCAAAGGUGGUUGGAGGUAUGUUUUUAGCGACAAUUGUUAGAUAAUGACUCCUUUAGAGGUUAUCAUAUAUUAAGGUCCCCAUUUUUGGGUUGGUGAAUUUUUGGAUCUUCAAUCCUUAUACCAACAUGUUGUAUUAUCGGCUAAAGCUAGCUAGUUCUCUUUUUCUAGCCUCUGAAUCAAGCUCUUUCACUCCUAAAAUCCUAUAUUGCUUCUUUUUUACCAAUUCAUAAUAUAUUCAAACUAAAUCUCAUGCUCAUGGUAUUGCCCACCCUAUGAUUACUCAAUCCAAGAAAUUGUACUUAUUUAAGACUAAAGUCUACUUGACUAUUAAUUUUACCAUUGUGGAGCCUAGCAAUAUGCAAGAAGCUUAACAAAGUCAUCAUUAGAGGGAAGCUAUGGAACAAGAGUACACUGCCUUAAUUAAAAACAAAACCUAAUCUCCAAUUCAAAAGUUAAUUGAUAAAAGGAUAGUUUGUUGCAAAUGGGUAUUCAAAAUCAGAAGGAAUCCUAAUGAGACUAUACAAUAAUACAAGACACAAUUGAUGGCUAAAAGAUAUCAGUAAUCUCUUUGUUGUAAUUUCAUUGAAACCUUCAAUCUAAUGGUUAAACCUACAACAAUUCAUGUGGUGCUAAUAACUUUAGAUAAAAAUUGAGAGAUCAAACAAUUGGAUAUGAAUAAUGCACUCUUGAAUGAGAUCCCCCAAGAAUUAUAUUUAUGGAUCAAUCUCCAAGGUUUGAACAACAUGAUUAAUAGGAACUUCUAGUACACAAGCUACAUAAAGUACUAUGUGGCUUGAAACAAGCCUCACAAACUACGUUUGACAAUCUUAGAUCAUCACUACAAAACUUAAUCUUAUCUUCUCAAGUUUUCUUUUCAUUCUAUUAUUUACAUACAUUUUACACAUGUAGAUGACAUCCAGAUAACUAGUAGCAAUUCUAUAGAGAUUCAAAGCCUUAUUAUCCUCUUGAAUAAAAACUGCUCUCUUAAGGAUGUUGGGUCCUUUAACUACUUAGAAAUUAAGGUAAAGAAACUAGAAAUUGGAAGUUUACUUUUUUCUUAAGGAAAAAAUAUAACAGAACUCCUACAUAAAGCUCAUAUGGACUUGGAGCCAUUUCCACUCCAAUAAUGUGAACUCUACAUAUUGCUUAUGAUGGUGACUCUAUACAGAAUCCAACACUCUACAUAUAGGAACCAAGUGCAUGCAUGUAGUAUGUAACUAUUACUAGACAAGAGAUUACCUAUAGUGUAGAUAAGGUAUCUUAAUAUAUGCAACACCCUUCAUAUUUCCAUUGGAAAGUUGUAAAGAGAAUCCUAGGUAUCUAAAGGGGACUAUUGAUUUUGGAAUUCAUUGGCAUCAAAUCCACAUAAUAGAAAAUCUAAUCUAGAUUUUGUAUCUUUCUUGGCAACAAUCCUAUCACCUGGAGAUCAAAGAAGGAAACUAAAAUCUCAAGAUCAAGCACUAAGGUUGGAUAUAGAAGCCUAGCUAAUGCUAUAGAAAAAAUGGUUUGGCUUCAAUUCUUCAUCAAAGAACUUAGAAUUCCAUAAACCGAAGUUCCAAUUCUCUAGUGUGACAAUCUAACUUGAAAAGCUGGAUCUCAAUAGUGGAAUACACCUAGGGGGGAGGGGUGGGUGAAUAGGUGUUUUGACCAAUUAAAAAAAAAUCUCAACUCAAAUUAGCAAACCUUGAAAUUUUUUGUAUAUUUUUCUUUUCUUCACACAUUCUCAAAAACACAACUUAUAAAUCACAUGCAUAUAUGAAUGCAACAACACUCCCCAACAAUAUUAAAAUGCAAUUCACAUGCACAUGAUCCAACACUCCCAAACUCAAAUCAACUUAAACUAAAUUUAAAUAAAAACAAGAUCAAUAAACCUCAAAACGUUAAUGAUCAACAAUCAAAAACAACUUCAAUAGUUGAUUCAUAGCCAUUUUUCUUCAUCAUUCAAUCAAAUAGUAAACAAUCAAAACUCUAAUAAAUUGUUGAAACUGAAAACUGAUGCUAAGAAAAGAAGGAGAGACAAUGAGACAAUUGAUAAUAGAUUUUAACGUGGAAAACCUCUGAAGAUGUCAAAAACCACGGGCCUACAACCAAUCAAAAACAUCUACUAUCAAAAAUAAAAACUGAAUACAAGGUUUUACCUAGCUUAAGCGAACCAAUCUUUCUCGUACCACUUGACUAGUACCUUUCACUUUUAGUUUCUCACCUUCUUCUUCCGAAGCACACUUGGAGUCCACACCAAGCUCGAUCUCGGCCUCUUCUUGAAUCCUCAUAAGAAGAAAAUGGGUUUUUGCUCAAAACCAAGAGAAUGAGAUAUGAGUGUUUCAAAAAUCAACCCAUGUUCAUUUUCAUAAAAUCCCAAACAAAAAAGAUUCUUGAAAAACUUAUGGGAUUUUCUUAGGAGGCAAACUUCCUCAAAAUGGGAAUGAAUGAAAAGUUCUCUCACGACUGCUUCUCUCUUUUUCCAAAAAUAGGAGAAAGUUUAAUUUUAAAUGAGAAUGAAGCCCUUAAUCUAAGGGCUGAAAAUUGAUCUUAAAAACAGGUUAGUUGGAUCAAUCUUUCCCUACACUUGGAUCGAUCCAAGAAAAAGGUGAACAAAAGUCUUUCAUCAAAAAACAUUUCUCCCAGCUUUCUUAACUCUUUUAAAGAUGAAAAACAUGGUUGAUUCACAUUCAAUCACCACACACUCGACUACAUACCUUGGCCUCUUAGCAAAGUUUUAAUCUUCAAAGUCAAGUAGUCCGAAGAGGAAUUGAAAAUUCGAGUUAGGAUACACUUAGGAAUUUUGUCCAAAAUUGCCAACCUAGCUAAACACUUACAAUCUCCCUCUUUGGUAACUUUCUCGACUACACAAGAUAUAGUCCAGUGACAAGCACAAAAAGUCUUAGCCAGCAUAGACUAUGCAGAAGACAAUUUCCAACAGCACUAGUGCACCAAAAAGAGACACACAGGUCGACAACACGAGUUGAACAACACGACAAUUCUAAGCUAUUCGACAAGGUUGUCCAACAAGAUUUCCCAAACCUAAAACGCUCACCAAUUAGGGACGUCCAACAACAAAGGUUUCUAAUGGUAGAGACUUACGACGGCAGUGGUUGAAAUGAUGGACCGACGAUGAUGGCUAAAGAAAAGCACAAAGUAGAGAAGUUCUCUUUUCUAGAACAAAAGGCCUAGGGCUUUUGAAUGAAAUGAAUUGGGAAAAAUUGAUUUGGGGAUUUUGACUUUUUCAAAUUUUUUUUUAACUUUAAAUUAUGAAAAUACCCCUUAGCCAUUAAACCAUGUGUAUAACUAGUCGAUGGCAAAAAUGGAAUUUUUACUUUUUCAAUUUUUUUUAACUUUGAAUUACAAAAAUACUCCUCAUCCAUUAAACCAUGAGUAUAACUAACUGGGAGCAAAACUAGAAUUUUUCACAAGUGCAUAAGUGGUAUCGAUCUUGGUAAAUCAAUCCAGUUUUCGAUUGUGAGCUCUUGGUGAUACACAGUCACACAAGUUUGAACAAGCCAAAUUAGAAAAAAAAAAAAAAAAAGGCUAAGUAUGUGAGAGACAAUGAAUAAAUGGUAUCGAUCUUGGUGGAUUGAUCCGCGAUUCGUUCAAGAGCUCUCGGUCACAAGACUGUGCACAUUGUGGAUCGAUCCAAAAAUUUAGCAGAUCGAUCGACACCUUACUGAAAAAUGACUUAGGGAAAAACUAACGAAAAUCACAAGAAACACACCGACAAACUUUCCAAAAAUUGAAAAUUGAUCCACCAAAGCUGAGAUACAAUAGGAUGACAUACUUAUCUUUCAAUCAAUGAGUUAGAAUUGAUUCAUAUUGAACAAAAAUGCUUCCAAGAACUUAACAAUAGACAAAAUUAACUAACAUAGAGAUUGAAGAACCUUCCAAAUUUAUCAAUUGAAUGGGUAAAAAAAAAAAUGAUUAUCAACACUCUAGCAAGUAAGCUUAAGCUCAAAGAAGACUCACUCAUAAUACCAUAAAAUAGUGAGAAUGUUAAUUUCUUUCUAGUUAUGAACAUAUAUCUAUCCGUAAGGCAAAAAUCAUUUUUAAGACACUUUUCCUUCUUAGAGAAAUUCAAGAUAAUGCUCCAAGAAAUCAAUUUGCACCUCUCUUGGCUAGAUUUCUGUUUAACACGGCCCAUUUACAUCCCUUUAACAAAGUUCAUACCUCAUUUGUUUUUCACAUUUAGCAUUGAACGAAAUACAAAGAUAUAGGUUUUACCCUUAAAAUCUUUUUAUUUUUAUUUUUAUUUUUUAUUUGAGGAUCUCUAAGAAUGCCUUUACAAUAUUACAACAUAAGGGAUGUCCCAUUUUUGUAAUUGAGGCUUUUUAACUCUUGGAACAUUGCCAAUGAGCCAUAACCAUUCUAGGAAAUUUCAUAUUUUCUUUUUCUUUUCUUUUCUUUUCCAAUUUUUUUCAUACGUAAUUUUAAAAAGAGGGCAAACAAUCAAAGAACGAUCAUCUCAACCACUCAAGGAAUUUCCAGGUGAUUUUACUCACUCUUUAAUGUUCAUUAAAUAAGUAUAAGUUCACAUUUAGACUUUAAAAAGCAUUAUUCACCAUUUAUGCAAUCACAAGGUUCAACCAUGAGCUUUUACUCACUUAAAAUAAAUGAAGCUAAUAUUUUGCAGUUUAUCUAAUCAAAUCAAAAUAGCAAGGAUUCAAUAUCAUGUUUAUCAAUCAAGCCAUGGAGAUAAAGACAUCUUGAAGCUUUUAAGAUCAUUAUGAGUCAAUCUAACUUUUGAAGAAAAGAAUAAUCAUGCCACUCUCAUGAACUCAGCAAUUGUUGAAAAUUAAAAUAUUGAACCAAAAAAAUAAAAAUAAAUAAAAAAUAUUAACUUGAUGACAUUUAGGAACUUAGGAAGACAACUAGGACUCGAGGAUAUGCAAGAGGAUGUCUUAGACAAGUUUUAGAGAAAGUCAACUGAGUGUGCAUAAACCUAUGGAUCUUCUAAGUGAUUCAAACCUAGACACAUCCAAAGGUUUAGUGAGAAUAUCAACAAUAUGACCCUCUGUUGGAACAUAUUCCAAGGAUACAACUUUGUCUUCAACUAAGUCAAGAAUAAACUGAUGCCUAAUGUCAAUGUGUUUUGUCCUAGAGUGAAGAACAUGGUUCUUGGAGAUAUUGAUUGUACUAGUAUUGUCACAAAAUACAACCAUGGUUCCUUGAUCUAUUCCAUAGUCUCUCAACAUUUGUUUGAUUCAUAGAAUUGAGAACAACAACUACCAGCAGCAAUGUAUUCCACUUCAGCUGUGGAGAGUGAAACAGAGUUUUGUUUCUUACUCAACCAAGCAACCAAGCGAUUUCCUAUAUAAAAAAACAAAAAAAAACCACCUGAAGUGUUUUUCCUAUCAUCCACAUUUCCAACCCAAUUAGCAUCAGUGUAGCUACAUCAAAAUGAGUAUUAAACAGAUACCAAAGGCCUAGCUCUAAAGUACCAUCAAUAUUGUACCUAAUGAUGUGCUUAAGAGCUAUGAGAUAAGAUUCCUUGGGACAUGCUUGAUACCUAGCACACACUCCAACACUAAAAGCUAUGUCCGGUCUACUAGCAGUGAGGUAUAAAAGGCUACCAAUCAUCAUUACUUAGCUUUAGGUUAAAAGGCAUUGGUGUCCUAAAGUGUUUGGUCGACUCAAGUCCAAACUUCUUGACAAGUUCCCUAGCAUACUUGGAUUGGGAUAAAAAAAUCUCAUCCUUGAGUUGUUUCACUUGAAAACCAAGAAAAUAGGUCAAUUCCCCUACCAUGCUCAUUUCAAACUUACUUUUCAUCUCUUUGGAAAAAUCUAAAGCACACUCACUAGAGGUAGAGUUAAACACUAUGUCAUCCACAUAGAUUUGUGCUACCAACAACACUUCAUCAUUUCUUCUAAUGAACAAUGUUUGAUCAGCUCCCCCUCUCAUGAAUCCUUUAUUAAGAAGAUAGGAUGUGAGUCUUUCAUGCCAAGCUCUAGGAGCUUGCUUUAAACCAUAGAGAGUUUUUCUAAGUCUUUAUACAUGAUUAGGAUACCUAAGGUCUUGAAAUCCUUUGGUUGCUCCACAUACUCUUCUUCAUUGAGGAUCUCAUUAAGAAAGACACUCUUGACAUCCAUUUGAAACAAUUUAAAUUUCCAUACACAAGCUACAACUAAGAGUAUUCGAAUGGAUUCAAGUCUUGCAAUCGAAGCAAAGGUUUCAUAAAAUCAAUUCCCCCAAUUUGCUUAAACCUUUGAGCAACCAACCUAGCUAUAUUCCUCACAAUCACACCAUUUUCAUCCAUCUUAUUUUUUGAAAAUCCAUUUUGUUCCAAUGACAUUCACAUCUUUUGGUCUAGGCACGAAGAACCAUACUUCAUUUCUAGAAAAUUGAUUUAGCUCUUCACGAAGAGCCUCUACCCAAGCUUCAUCAUUCAAGACUUCUUCAACAUUUUUUGGUUCAAUUUGGGAUGUAUAGCAAACAUAGCUAAUCUCAUUUAGCUCAGAUUGUCUCCUUGUUACCAUGCUAUCCUCAUAGUUCCCAAUCACAUUGCUUAAUAGAUGGUUCUUAGGUACCAUUGACUUAUUUUUCUUUGAUGGCUCGAUUCUCCCCCUAUCUCAUUUCUUUCCUUGUUUUUCUCUAUUUUCUUCCUCUUCACUUAACUUUUCAUCUUGAGAUAUUUCUUCAAUCAAUUCAAUCUCUUUUGACACAUCAAUUCUAUCAUCAUCACACUCUCUUGACCUUGAUCCUAGAUCAUCCACAAUCACAUUGAUUGAGUCCACCAUACAUUUUGAACUCAAAAUGUACACUCUAUAUGCCUAACUUUUGGUGGAAUAUCCUAGGAAUAUCCCUUCCUCACUCUUGGACUCAAACUUACCAAGAUUUUCAUGAUCUUUCAAGACAUAAUAUCUACUUCCAAACACCUUAAAGUACUUCACACUAGGUUUUUUUCAUUUCCACAACUCAUAACAAGUCUUCCUAGUAUGAGGUCGUAUGUGAAUUCUAUUGGAAGUAUGACAAGCUGUGUUGAUGGCUUCAGCCCAAAAAUAUGUACGAAUUUGUGCUGAUUUAGCAUUGUUUAAACCAUUUCUUGAGUGACAUGAUUGUUUCUCUCAACUAUCCAAUUUUGUUGAGGUGUUCUAGGAAAGGAAAACUCAUCUUUGAUUCCUAGAGAAUGACAAAAUUCUAGAAAAUCAGAAUUAUCAAAUUUUCUCCUCUUAUCACUCCUAAUUCUUUCAAUGGGAUACCUUUUUUCAUUUUGAAUUUUCAAAUCAAUGUCCUUGAAGUUUAUGAAUGUCUCACUCUUAUCUCCCAUGCAUACCUAGAAUAGUCAUCAUCCAUCAUCAAAAUGUAUUUCUUGUCUCCUAAACUCUUAGUUCUCAUUGGACCCAUGAGGUCCAUGUGUAAGAGUUCUAAAGGUUUAGAGGUCAAAAUUUCAUCAACUCUUCUAUAUGUACUCCUAGUUUGUUUUCCCUUUUGACAAGUACCAUAAAUAGGAUUAAAGGAUUUUCCAAGCUUAAGAAUCCCUUUGAUGACUUCAUUAUUAGCAACCUUCAUCAAGUCACGAUAAUUUAAAUGACCCAACCUACAGUGCCACAAAUCAAUUGAUUCCACUUUUGAACUACCACACACAAAAGAAGAAGAAGAAGAGGUAGAAGGAUUUUGACAAAAACAUAACAAUUAUCUGAAGUUCUCAAUCCAAUCAUCACACAAUUUCCAUUCAAAUCAAACACUUUACAUAAAUUUUGUGAAAAAUGAACAUUGAACUUCUUGUCACAUAUUUGACUAAUUCUAAUCAAGUUAGCUUCAAUCCUUCCACAUACAAGACUUCUUCAAGGUUAGGGAUUCCAGGAGCACAAAUUGUCUUUCUCUUUCACACUAGCAACAUUACCAUCACCAAAAGUCACAUUUCCUCCAUUAAAUUCAGUGAAAUUAGUGAAGAAUGAUCUAUUACCUGUCAUAUGACGUGAACAACCACUAUCAAAGUACAAUGAGUGUGAGUCACUAGCCCUAAGUGUAGUGUAAACACCAAGGCAAUUAAGUUCAUUCUUUUUCACUCAUAUUUUUUUGACACUUGUAACUUUGGUCAUUCCAUUAGAAAUGCUUCCUUGGAAACCACUAUGAUGAGGGACAUUUGAAUCUCUCUUGAAUACUCUCUUACCUCCUUGUAACAACCUAUUUCUCAAAGUGAAUGAUUCAUUCAUUAAGUUGGUCAACUUUAUUUGGAAACUCUCAAACAUCCUAGCAUAACAUCCAUCAACAAUGUGUCCCAUUUUAGUGCAAUAAAUACAAUGAAGUUUCAAUUUAGAAAGAGUUUUCUUAGGGAGCACUCCUUCACAAGGCUUAACAAAAAUUGUUUUACUACUACUUGGAGUGGUAGUUUCAUCAACUAAACCUAUACCUCUUUUGUCAAAUGAUUUUCUCCCUGAAUUGAUCAAAUCACUUAGUCAUUUAAAGCUAGGGUGUGACUCUUCUUUCCUAAGACUCAACUUAUUCUUAAACACUUGAUUUUUACUCUUCAAUUCAUCACACAUUAUCUUUAUGUCAGAGUGUUUAUUCUCAAGAAACGCAAUCUUAUCAAGCAAAGACUUCUUUUCUCCCUUUAGAGUCUUAACUUCAUUGGUUAAACUCCUUUUAGAAGCCUUCCACUCAACUUAUUCUUGUUUGAGACUUAAGCACUCUUUGUACAAAGUCUCAUAUGUAGAGUCAAAACUCAUCUCAUCACCAUCGGAGUCACUUGACUCACAAGACUCACUAAGAACCGUUUUCUUGAGUGGUUCCUCAAUGACACUUUCCAUAAAGGUUGUGAAAUCACUUGCAUUGGAUUCUUUUUCACUUGAUUGGCAUGAUUCCGUGUCACUCCAAGUGACUUGUAUGACUUUCUUUCCUUUUUUCUUUGAGAGACAUUCAAUAGCAUAGUGCCCCUUUCCCCCACACUUGAAGCACUCAACCUCAAGGUCCUUUUUUACACUCGUCUUUCUUUUUGUCUUGUACAUUUGAUUUUCCCAUUGAAUUGUUCCAUUUUUUUAGCAUCUUCCUUGGACUUCUUCUUAUAUUUCCUGAACUUCAUGUAUUUUUUGAAUUUGCCAGCAAAUCUAGCAACUUUUCCAUCCGACAUUUUCUCAUCACCCUCACCUUUAGAACCUAAGGAAUCCUCUUUAAGGGCAUUCAAGGCAAUGCCCUUUGAUUUCCUAAGUGAUCCAAGAGUCAUCUCAAAGGUUUGGAGUGAACCAACAAGUUCAUCUACUUUCAAGGAAUCCACAUCCUUAGACUCUUCAAUGACGAUGAUAUUUGCUCUAAAUCUCUCCAGAAAAGAUCUUAAAAUUUUUCUAACCACUUUGGAGUUAAGGAUGGGCUCACCUAGAUUAAAGCUAGAAUUCAUCCAUCAGUUUUGCAUGAACCUCUCCAAAGUUCUCAUGAUUUUCCAUCCUAAUUGUCUCAAACUUAGAAGUCAACAUUUGAAGUUUAGACACUUUCACAGCAUUAGUUCCUUCAUGAGUCACUUGGAGGAUAUCCCAAGCCUCCUUAGCCAAAGUACAUGUAGCUAUCCUAUGGAAUUCAUCCAUGCUAAUGGCAUUAAAAAUGGAAUACAUGGCUCUAGCAUUGUUCUCACUAGCUUCAUUGUCACCUCUAUCCCAUUCCAACUUAGGCUUAAUAACAUUUGUUGGUCUAUCUUCUCUAUCCAACACCUUAGGUGGAGACCAACCAAAUUCAACAGCAUUCCAAACUUUUUCACUUUGCAUUUUGAGAAAAUAUUGCAUUCUCACUUUCCAAUAGAAAUCAUUUUCGCUGAUUAAGAAUGGUGGUCUCCCAAUGGAAGCUUUCUCUUGAUGAGGCUCCAUAUUUGAGAUUCAAUGACCGAAAAUGAUUUUUGCUUUAAAAACCUAUUUUGAUACCAAUUGAAAAGGUAAAUCUCAAUAGUGGAAUACACCUAGAGGGGGGAAUAGGCAUUUUCACCAAUUCAAAAAAAAAAAAAAAACCUCAACUCAAAUUAGCAAACUUCGAAAUUUUUUGAAUAUUUUUCUUCUCUUCACACAUUCUCAAAAAUAAAAAUUAUAAAUCACAUGCAUAUAUGCAACAACACUUCCCAACAAUAUUAAAAUGCAAUUCACAUGCACAUGAUCCAACACUCCCAAACUCAAAUCAACUUAAACUAAAUUCAGAUAAAAACAUUAAGAUCAAUAUACCUCAAAAUGUCAAUGAUCAACAAUCAGAAACAGCUUCAAAGAUGAUACAUAGCCAUUUUUUUUCAUCAUUCAAUCAAAAUAUUAGACAAUCAAAACUCUAAUAAAUUGCCAAAACUGAAAAAUGAUGCAAGGAAGAGAAAGAGAGACAAUGAGACAAUUGACAUCAGAUUUUAAUGUAGAAAACCUUCGAAGAGAUAAAAAAAACCAUAGGCUUACAACCGAUCAAAAACAUUCACUAUGAAGAAUAAAAAUUGAAUACAAGGUUUUACUUAGCUCAAGCUAACCAAUCCUUCCCGGACCACUUGACUAGUAUCUUUCACUUUUAACUUCUCACCUUCUUCUUCUGGAGCAUACUUGGAGCCACACCAAACUCGAUCUCAGCCUCUUCUUGAAUCCUUACAAGAAGAAAAUGGGUUUUUGCACAAAACCAAGAAAAUGAGAGAUGAAUGUUUCAGAAAUCAACCCAUAUUCAUUUUCAGAAAAUCCAAAAAAGAAAAAAAAUGAUUCUUGGAAAACUUAUGGGAUUUUCUUAGGAGGCAAACACCCUCAAAAUUAGGAAGAAGAAAAAACUCUUUCAUGACUGCUGCUCUCUCUCUCUUUCCAGAAAUAGGAAAAAGUUUGAUUUUAAAUGAGAAUGAAGAAUCGCUGAAAAUUGAUCUUAAAAACAAGUUAGUUGGAUUAAUCUGCCCCUACACUUGGAUCGAUCCAAAAAUAGGGGAACAAAAGCCUUUCAUAAAAAAAAAAACAUUUCUCCCAGCUUUCUUAACUCUUUUAAAGUUGAAAAAUAGGGUUGAUUCACAUUCAAUCACCACACAGUCGGCUACAUACCUCGGUCUCUUAGCAAAGUCUUAAUCUGCAAAGUCAAGUAGUUCAAAGAGGAAUUGGAAAACCAAGUUAGGGGACACUUAGGAAUUUUUUCCUGAAUUGCCAACCUAGCUAAACACUCACAUAAUUGUUGUUUCUUUAAGUGCUAAUUUUGUCCUACAUUUAGAACCAAACAUAUGGAACUCGACUUAUAUUUUGUUCAAGAAAAGAUCCUUGAGAAUUUCUUAUUAGUUUGGUAUGUGCCAAACCUCGAUCAGAUUGUUGAUAUCUUCACCAAACCAUUGUCUACUAUCUAUGUGGUGUCACCCACUAACCACACUCAACUUGAGGGGACUAUUGGAGAUAAUGCAAGAUUUGCUCCAUAACUAAAGAAAAAUUAGUUGUUGUCUAUUCUAGAAUAUUCAAUGCAGCAAAAUUGUCAGGGGAUUGCAACAUUCCCUAUGUCGGUUGUAUUGUAUAUUUAGUUUUUUAUUCUUUACCUAAAUAUGAGUAUGUAUCAUUAUCAAUAUAUAUAAAUAGUUAAGCCCCCACUUUUCCUCACUUUCCUCUUUUUUUCUUUCUUAACCCAAUAUUAAAGUCAACUCUAUUGAUUCUGAAUGAUCCAAACUUCAAUUGAAUGGUUAUUGAGUUUCAGAAUCGGCCAUUUUCUACUCUUUUUUCUCCCCAACAUACAUGUAUGUAUAUAAAUAUAUACAACUGAGUGAUAGUAUUUAACGCAUAAAUUAACACACAAAUUCAAGAUCAUUGAAUUCAACCCAUCUCAAAAAUUAAGAAUUGAUUACAUACCAUUUGAAGAACACGCAGCCAUGUUAAAUCGAGAUAUCCCCUUCAAUUUAUAAAUCUUAAAUUCUUGAUCUCUUCUUCUCCUUAUAAAACUUUAAUACACAUAAUUAUUUAUGUAAUUGAUGGAAGAGAGCUCACCCAACAAGAAGGGGUUCUGUAUAUUUCUUUUAUUGAUAGGAGAAGAGGGCCAAGAAUAAUCGUUCACAACCGUUCUGAACGUGUUAUUCAAAUAAUUGUUUUAUUCCUAUUAUUAUUAUUAUUAUUAUUUUUAAUUUACCCACUCCAUCAAAGGGUAAAUAUCCUUAUAACAAUUAUUAACUAUUUUAGGCAUUCUUUUAAUUGGCUAAAAACUUUUAUAAGUGGAUAAAAAAAUUAAAACACUAGGUUAGUGGGCCACCCACUUAAUUUUAUCAUGGAAAUAACAUUCUCCCACUUGGCCCACUAAACCGAUUAUGAAAACUAUAAUAUAUAUACUUUUAUAUAUAAAAAUAUAUACUGGAAAAUAAAUUUGACACGUGAUUACAAUUUCAAUAAACUUAUCCAAUACGUCCAAAAUCAUAUACCAUAAUACUGAAUCAGUUUAGAUCAUAAAUGCGAGUCAUGGCGGUCACAUAAGCAUAAUAUCAUGUUUCCUUCCAUGCACCACACAUCAAUAACCCUAACUAACCCAAUCCUUAAUGCCAAAUAGCCCCUGUAAUUUGUCUUGUCAGGACAAUUCUUGUUUAUCAAACAAUAAAACGUGCACCCAUAAUUGAAAACAAUAAUAAACAGAAACAAUCUUUAAUGCGCAAAUUGUCAAUUACAUAACCACCAUUCAUUAUCAUACAUAUUAUGGAUUACUCAAAAGGCCCAUCCUCAUAACAUGUUCCAAAUAUGCCUUUGGAGGUAAUCCUUUAGUUAAUGGAUCAGUAAUCAUAAGUGUGGUCCUAAUAUUUUCAAUUGACACUUGUUGUUUUUGGACUCUUUCUUUAACAACUAAAUACUUUAAAUCCAUGUGUUUCAAUCUACUAGAAAAUUUGUCACUCUUAGAGAAGAAAACAGUUGUGGUGUUAUCACAAUAUAUUCUCAAAGGUUUAGCAAUAGAGUCAACAACACCAAGCCCUGAGAUAAAAUUCUGCAACCAUAAAGCAUGACUUGAAGCUUCAAAACAAGCAACAAACUCGGCCUCCAUCGUAGAUGAAGUAGUAAUUGAUUAUUUUUCACUCUUCCACGAUAUUGCCCCAUUUGCCAACAUAAAGACAAAUCCUGAAGUUGACUUUAAGCUAUCGAGACAACCACCAUAAUCAGAAUCCGAGUAACCAACAAUCUCUAAUUGUUCUAAUCUUUUAUAUUUGAGCAUAUAAUCCUUUGUCCCUUGUAAGUACCUCACCACCUUCUUUGCAGUUUUCCAGUGUUUGAAUCCUGGAUCACUUUGGUAUCUUCCUAACAUGCCAACAGCAAAGCUGAUAUUUGGUCUUGUACAUGUUUGAGGUACAUCAAACUCCCCACAGCUGAUGCAUAAGGAAUUUUCUUCAUUUGCUCCAUUUCCAUGUUAUUCCUUGGGCACUGCAUUUUACUUAAUUUGUCACCUUUCAAUAUAGGUGCAAUACCCGAUGAACAUGACUGCAUAUUAAAUCUCUUUAAAACUCGAUCAAUAUAUCCUUUCUGAGAUAAACCUAGCACUCCUCGAGAUCGAUCCCUAAAGAUCUCAAUGCCAAUAACAUAGUUUGCCUCACCCAUAUCAACCAUAUGAAAGUUUUUAGAGAGAUGUUCCUUGGUUUCACGUAAUAAACCAAGAUCACUGCUAGCAAGCAAAAUAUCAUCCACAUAUAGUAUCAGAAAUAUAAACUUGUUCCCAUUAACUUUCAGAUAUAUACACUGAUCAACAAUGUUCUCUUUAAAUCCGAAAGAUGUAAUGGUAUUAUUGAACUUAAUAUACCAUUGUCUGGAAGCUUGUUUAAGAUCGUAAAUAGAUUUCUUUAAUUUGCAAACUAGGUGUUCAUUUCCUUUCUUUGCGAACCCUUCAGGUUGUUCCAUGUAGAUAUCUUCAUCCAAAUUCCCAUUUAAGAAUGCAGUUUUCACAUCCAUUUGAUGUAGCUCUAAAUCAAAAUGAGCUACAAGUGCCAUGAUGAUGCUAAGCGAAUCUUUCUUGGAAACUGGAGAAAAGGUAUCUCUGUAAUCAAUACCUUCCUUUUGAGUGAAACCUUUGGCCACAAGUCUGGCCUUAAAUCGUUCAAUAUUGCCUUUAGCAUCGCGCUUGGUCUUAAAGACCCAUUUACAACCGACGGGUUUACAACUAUUAGGCAAUUCGAUGAGAUCCUAGACACCGUUAUGGGCCAUAGAUUCAACUCUUCAUUCAUAGCUUCCAUCCAUUUACUAGAAUCAUCACUUUCCAUGGCUUGUGAAAACGAAACCAGAUCCUUCCUUAUCCCAAUAUCAAAGUCAGAUUCCUGUAGAUACACCACAUAAUCAUCUGAAAUGGCAGGUCUCCUUUCUCUUUGAGAUCUCCUCAAAUGUGGCGGUUGUGGUGGCUCUACAGCAUUUUCAAUGGCAAUAUUUUCUGGUGGUAAUGAACCAUCUCUAUUAUGUUGCUCAUGUUCCUCAACUUGUUAAACAGGUUGAGGGGCAAUAAUUUCUUGAGGUAAAAAGGGUGGUGGGAUAUCCACUUUUAUCUCCUCAAUAUCUACCUUUCUUGGUUCAUUACUCCCAUUGAUUUCACCAUUCUCUAAGAAUCUGGCAUUACUGGUUUCAACUAUUCUCACACUGUGGUUAGGACAGUAAAAUCUGUACCCUUUCGAUUUAUCCGGAUAGCCAAUGAAAUAUCCAAAUAUCGUUCUUAAAUCAAGCUUUUUCUCAUGUGGGUUGUAGAUUCUUGCCUCCGCUGGGCAACCCCAUAUAUGUAUAUGUCUCAAACUAGGUUUCCUACCAGUCCAUAACUCGAAAGGAGUUUUUGGAACUGCCUUACUAGGAACUCUGUUCAAGAUAUACAUUGCAGUUUUUAAGGCUUCACCCCACAAUGAAAUAGGUACAGAAGAGUAACUCAUCAUACUCCUAACCAUUUCCAUUAAUGUGCGAUUACGCCUUUCAGCAACACCAUUCUGCUGUGGCGUACCAGGCAUUGUGUACUAAGCACGAAUGCCACGCUUUUCAAGGAAUUUGACAAAAGGACCAGGAUUUUGUCCCCAUUCAUCAUAUCUGCCAUAAUAUUCACCACCUCAAUCUGAUCUCAUAAUUUUAAUCUUUUUAUCUAAUUGUCUCUCGACCUCUGUUAUGAACAUCUCGAAGAUGUUAAUGGCUUGAGACUUUUCAUGCAUUAGAUAAACAUAACCAUAACGAGAUAGAUCAUCUAUAAAGGUGAUCAAAUAUUUCUCUCCUAUAAAACAUGGAACAGAGAGUGGUCCACAAAUAUUCGUAUGAAUUAUCUCAAGAAGCUCAUUACUUCUUAUGGCACCUUUCUUUGUAUGUUUAGUUUGCUUUCUCUUUAUGCAAUCCACGCAUACAUGAAAAUCAGUGAAGCCAAGAUUUUGUAAAAUUCCUUCCUUCACUAAUCUCUCAAUUCUUUCCCUAGAGAUGAGCCCUAGUCUUCUGUGCCACAAGAUUGAAGAAUUUUCAUUAAUUAAGCCACGUUUUGAACCAACAUUUGAAUGCAGGGUUAUCAAAGCUUGUGCAAAUUCAUGAUUCAAGGAAAUUUUAUAUAAACCAUCAUAUAAAAUACCAGAACCAACUGAUUACUACUCAAAAAGUGCUCUUUGAUAGCUUGUAAUAAACUCUUUUAAACGCUUUUGAGUAGUAGUUAUUGCCUUUUAACCCAAUUAACAUGUUAAGGACCCUUGCAAUCAAUUCUAAUCAAAUUAUGUUAAGUUUUGGUGUUUUGAUAGCCUUUUGAUCACCAAAGCAAUCCGAGAUUGAGGAGAGUUAUAUGGAAUCUUGGGCAAAGCAAUUGGAAGCUCAGAAACAUGAAGAACCGAAGCUUUGAAGUCCUUUACCAUAAGUAAAUCCGGAAUGCAAGGAGAAGAAGUAAAGAGAAUCUGCCAUGAAGCAUAUUCUUGAUGACAGUCGUGUCAGCCACUUUUGGAGCACUUUCUAAAGUCCAAUUGAUGCAUGCUAUAUGUCAUUUCAAAGAUCAGGAAGUCAAAAAUCCAAUGCUUCAAACGGUGCGCAAUUUGGAGUUGAAACGAAGAAGUUACAGCCACUGCAAGCCAAUCACUCUAAGUUGAAGAAAGCAUUUUGCAAAAGUGUUGCGAAAUCACCCUUUUGUUGCGAAGUGAUUUCGCAACCUUUUUGUACAGUGUGGUGGAUUUCCUCCUGAAGUUGCCCGAUAUAUGCGACAAGUUGGAAGCUGAGAACCUCAAGAUGAAAGCCAACUUCGCAGCCCUGCGAGAAUAACCUUUUGCUGCGAAGUGAUUUCGCAGCCUUUUUUUGUAUGUCUGCGAAAUCUCGCAGACAUCAUUUUCUCUUGCGAAAUGGUCCUUAGUGCGUCCCGAUAUUUGCUACCGACAUUGGGAGAUAUUUUCCAUCAGAUUUUUGUUGUCUAAAUCCCAAAAUUCUCCUUGUAAGCCACCAAUUACAAGAUUCCUUAGCUUUUAAGUUAGCAAAAAGAGUAAAUAUCCAUGUAAUAAUUAGUUUUGUAUUAUGUUCAUAUAUAAAUGCCCCUUGAGAGCCUGUUCUCGGGGGGGAGACCUUUUGAAAAGUUUUGAAAAAGCAAGUAAAGUUCAGGUCCUUUGUUUUGCCUUAUCUUCUCACUUUGUAUUUUUUAUUUCUUACUAAGUUAUGCACUCUCUAAGGAAUUUUCCCCAGAGAAUGAGUAACUAAACCUUUAGUUCCUUGGAGCUAAGGUUGCCGGGGAAGGUUCCAAGUGCAAGAAUGCAAAGCUCUGUGGUUUCAGCCAUGAAUGAAGAAGAAGUGAAAUCCUUUAGUGAUUUCUAUGUUUUUAGUUAACUUAAAACACCUUAGAGUCACCUGGGCCAACACUUGGUAAGGCAAGUGAUCUCCAACCAUGGAGAUGCACUAGUUUACCCCUUGCGAGCCUCUGGGAGGUGACUUUAAGGUAGGAUUUUCUGGAAUUGCCAACACUUGGUAAGCUUUUGGACUCCAAGGAGACAUCCAUUAGUUAUCUCUUGCGAGCCUAAGAAAGGAAGUCCAAGGUUAAAGAUCACCUUGAAUGGUUAAGGCUUAGUGAGAGGUUUGAACCAUUGCAAGUUGCAUCAGUGAGAGAAUUAAAGUUGAAAUCUAAUUAAAGGAUGUAUCUGUACAACAUCGGUUAGAGAAUUGACUAUAUGUUGAAUCUCUAACGCGAGGAAAUGAACCAUCUGACCGGAGCUAUGUCUUUUGCAUGAGGAACCACCCCAGUGAACCUGACCCUCCAAGGAAUGUUUUUCUUCCUAAGUUAUUCCCAUUACUUGUUUUGUUAGUUAGUUUGAAUCUAAAUCUUUACCAAUCAAGGUUUGAGUUUUAUUUCUUAAGCUAACCUUGAAAUGAAACACUACCAAUUCACUUUGAAUUGAUAUCAUUUGUAAUUUGGAAACCCUUCCCAGUGAACGAUCCUAGAGCCGCUAUACUAUAGUAGCUUUUUCUUUGCUACCCUAGUAUAUGGUGUAAUAGGUUAUAAAUUUUGUUGAUUACUCCCUCAUCCAAGGAGCAGCAGCUGGACACAAAUCAGCUGAGACACCAAUUGGGCAUGAAUCAAACCAACUGUAACAGAAUUUAACAACAAACUUAAUUGUCCAGAACUGAAUAAAACAGAAUAUCCAGUAGCAUCUAAUUUGGACAAAGAAACUAAAUUCCUAGAAGUAGAAGGUACAUAAAAAGUGUUUAAAAGAUCCAUCCGAUGACCUGUCACUAAUAGUAAGCGAUAGGUACCAACAGCUACCUUCCCCAGGUCCACUUUUCUUAGGUGGAAACUUCUUUCCUUUUCUAAAUUUUCCUUUCUUCUUCGUGACUCCAUGAGUUACAGCAAGGGGAAGAUUAUGUCCUUCUUGUCUUAAUCUCACUUCCUCUUGUAUGCAUUUACUGGUGAGCUCAUUCAAGUUCCACUGAUCGCUGUUAGUAUUAUAGUGGAUCUUGAAUGGAGCAAACUGUGAUGGAAGUGAGUUAAGGACAAACUGUACCAAGAAGGACUCAUCCAUACUCAUGCCUAGUGCCUUAAGCUUUACAGCCUUUUCAGUCAUGUUUAAAAUAUGUUGUUGAAUACCUUUCUGACCAUCAUAUUUCAUGGUGGUCAAUUCAGCCAUCAAUGUGCCUGCAAGGGACUUAUCAGCGCAUUUGAAGCACUCCUCAACAUAUUUUAGAAAUUUCGAGGCAAACUCGGUUUGAGGGAGAGAGGUCUUGAUAUUAUUGGCAAUAGUCAUUCUCAUAAACAUCAAACUGAGUCUGUUUCAUUUUGCCCAGGCUUUUGAUUGUUCCACCUGCUCCGGAAUACUGUCAUCCGUAGCUUCAGGAGGUUUAUCAGUUAUUAAAGCCAGGUCAAGAUCCAACAAGCCCAAUGAGAAUUGAACCAUUUCAUACCAUUCAGAAAAGUUCGACCCAUCAAAAACAGUCAUUCCAGAUGCAAAAGAGUGUAAUGAAGUGGGAACUGUACAAAAUAUAACAAUGCUCACAAUAAGGCCUCAAGUAUAAAAUAAAAAACAAUGAACUUUUGAUAUCGUUAAAAUUCUCCUUUGGGUAAAUUUUAACAUAUCCAGUGUUCACUUGGAGGGAGCUUAAAAUACUUUACUAUUUUGUGUCAUUUAUAUGUUACAUUUGGGUAUCCAUUUUACCUUUCUAAGCAACACAAAAAUAAAAGCAUUAAUUAAUAAUUAGCAGAAAUUGACUCUCCUUUGGGUUAGUCUCAUUCUCCUAAUUAUAAAGAGAAUUAUUAAGAAUUUUACAAGUCUCCCUUUAUUCUUUUAUGCAAUUUAAUAAAUACAAGGCUCACUAAUUUAGGUUACUUUGGCAACUAUCUAAACUAGUUAACCUUACAUUUAUAAAUUGUCUUUAGAUAAAAUAUUCACAAGAUGAAAUUAACAGGUGACAGUAACAUAAAAGACUCUCUGGAUAUCAUUCAAAGGUUUUUCAAGGCCUAUAUUAAAUGUACUUGGAUACUCAUGUCAGAUGUGGUAUGUGUCCAGAUGUCAGAUAUGUCUAUGGUCCAAGUAAAGACUUGAGGAGUGGAUAAAUAGCCAAAAGCCUCUUAUCAUUCUCCUUUUAUGUCUAGGGUGAAUGACGUGUUUGUGAUAUAUGUACAGUAUAUUCAAAGCUCAACGAUUUUGAAACAUUCAUGUGAAUGAGAUAAUAUUUAGUAUCCUCUGAAACUUCAAUAAAAAGAUAGCACAUGCAUAUAAAGAAGGUUCACAUGACCAAUGAACCUAUGUUUCAAAUAUUAAAAUAGACAUAUAAUCCUUAUUACUAAGAUGUUAAAUCGGGGCUACUAUAACCGAGUCUAUAAUAAAUCACAAAUUCACAAAUUCCUGCAUCGACACCGGCUGCACCACACCAAGACAACCUUCCAACACCUGUAGCACUCCAAGCUUUGGAGCUGCCUUACAUCAAGGGGUAGGAAGAGCCUCAAGGGUGCCCUCCAGCUGCUGUGAAUGGCGCCUGAAUGGCGCUUCCAAGGGCGUCUCCUAGAAUGGUGGCUGAAGCCAGCCUUAAAUAGUGCUUGGUGUAGCACCUGAAUUGGCGCUUUUGGAGUGCACCUGACAUGACACCUGAAGCGCUCCUGGAACGGCGCUGCAAACGGCGCCUCCAAUGGCGCCUGAAGGAGGAAACAAAGCCUGCAAACGGCGCUGUUGCUCACCUUUUUCGACCACCGGACUGGCGCCAAAACGGCGCCCCUCACCAGCAUCGCUCUAGUCGACAUUGCAAGGAAGACACAGUGCCUUCCUUCUACGCGCCGAGGCUGGUCUUUAUUUUGUUUAAUUUUUUUUUGUUUUUUUUUUUUUUGGUGAGACGAAUUAAUCGAAGAUAAAAUCUCAAAAUUUAAUCUUUAUAAAACGAUGAUUCUGAAUAUUUGAAUUCAACCUUGCUCUGAUACCAAUUGAUAGUAUUUAACGCGGAAAUUAACACACAAAUUUAAGAUCAUUGAAUUCAACCCAUCUCAAAAAUUAAGAAUUGAUUACAUACCGUUUGAAGAACACGCAACCAUAUUAAAUCGAGAGAUCCCCUUCAAUUUAUAAAUCUUAAAUUCUUGAUCUCUUCUUCUCCUUAUCAAACUUUAAUACACGGAAUUAUUUUUGUAAUUGAUGGAAGAGAGCUCACCCAACAAGAAGGGGUUCUGUAUAUUUCUUUUAUUGAUAGAAGAAGAGAGCCAAGAAUAACCGUUCAAAACCGUUUUAAACGUGUUAUUCGAAUAACUGUUUUAUUCCUAUUAUUAUUAUUAUUAUUAUUUUUUAAUUUACCCACUCCAUCAAAGGGUAAAUAUACUUAUAACAGUUAUUAACUAUUUUGGGCAUUCUUUUAAUUGGCUAAAAACUUUUAAAAGUGGAUAAAAAAAUUAAAACACUAGGUUAGUGGGCCACCCACUUAAUUUUAUCGUGGAAAUAACACAGAGGAGAAUCCAAUUAUACCAUUUCUCUAAUUAAUUAACCGGCAGCUGAUAUAAAAACAAUGUUUGAUCAAUGCUGAGAAGUAAGCAAACUUCAUUUUUUGAUAAUAUUUUACUCCAUACAUACUUGAACUGAAAAACCUAACAUGAGGUAUUGUCAAAAUAACAUCGAUCUUAAUCUGGCGAUAAUAGAGAUCAAAAGCAUAUUAGGCAGACAUGCGCUAACAGAUGCAUGAAACUCAUGGGCUGCUAGGUAGAGGUGGUGGUGGUGGUGGAGAUAGUAAAUGUGGUGAUGAUUGCAGCAGCCCAACACGAGGUGGUGGCACAGAAAAUGAACCCGCCUUCCCAUGCAAAGGAGGAGGAGGAGGAGGACUCCCAACUUUAUCUGGGUAUACCUUCUUCUGCUCCAACAAUCGAUUUGAAACAGCGGCCACAAAAUCCGUAUCAGAAGCAGCUUCUAAGGGUCGUGCCAUCGCCACAUAGCUCUUACCUGUGUGACUGAUCUGCAACACCACACUAUGGAUUAAUAUAACUAAAAGCAAGAAAAGGGCAUUCAUUGCAGUCACUUUGCUAUGGCAUUAUGCUUGAUCUUAUGUAUAUAUUAUAUAGAUGGAGAGGUCAAUUAGUUGACUCAUUGCUCGAGAAAUAUCAGAUAUGUUAACAAACCCAAAUCGCACGUCUUUGAAUAAAUAGGACAAACUAGAAAUUUAAAGAAUUCUCACGCCACCGAUUUCCAAUAUUUGACGGCUUUCGACGACUUCAGUGUAGGAAUUUGAAAACAUAUUGUUUGAAGUAGACGUCAUUAAUUGGCCAUAUCAAAAUUGUGUGGUCUAAUAAUUCAUCGCAUGGUUCUUUCGAUGAACACGAAAGAGAUGGUGCACAAAAAUUCCAAGUCAAGCAAAGAAUUAAAUCGCAUGGACUUGGAUGAUACUGCUUCGAAGAAGAAAUUAAAGAGAUGAAAUUAUAUUUUCAUACGUUUCAAAUACUCAAGUCCAAAUAGUAGGAAGAAGAAGUUGCUGAAGAGUUUACAAUUUAUUAUUAUUUAUAUUUACUUAUACAAAAAUUUAUUCAUAAAUUUCUUUUGAUUUUAAUACUCUUUAUAUAUAAAAAAAAAAUAGAAAACUUCAAAAACAAUAUGUGGAAAUCAAAUAGUAAAUUUUCAUCUAAUUAAUUUGGUUGACUUAUAACUAAGGUUUGACUUAAUAAAUAUUAUUAUUAUUAUACAACUAAGCUCGGUGCUUAUUUGAUUUUUUCUGUUGCAAAUAAGAACUUUUGUGGAGUAAAAGAAAGAGGUUUGAUAUUUUGAUAGAAGAAAUACAAUCCAGAUAUAACAAGACCCUUGCUAUUUUCCCUAGAAAUUUUGGCUAUUGACCAGGAAGUAUAGAAUCAUAAUCCUAAUAGUUGAACUCUGAAUAUGGAACUGGAACCAGCUACUGAAUUACCAUAAUAUAUGAUAAAAGGACUUAAAGCUUAAUUUGCCAAGUCAAUAUAUAUAAAAACUCUUAUAUUGUUCUUACUCAAAUUAACUUUAAAUCAUUUACUUUUAAAAUUAGCUAUUAUUAACUCUAGUUAGUCAUAAUUCCCAUUUUAUUUUUUAUUUUUUUCUUUUUGAACUUCUUCAUAAGAAGAAACAUGAGACAUAAAUUUAGCAAUAUUCUUCUUGGAUUAUAUUCUUCCUGAAUUUGGAGAUACUUGAUUUAUUAGUUUGAAUUUGAUAACAACCAUGGUUAUAACUGGUUUUAAUUUCAGUAAGAAAUCUAAAAGAAAUCUACUGGUGGUGGUGAUGCAACAGGUUUAGGUGGUGCCGGGCGGGGAAUAUUCCAACCAAUGUAGCGGGAGGUCUGUGGAAGAGGCCUUCCUAUGAGAUUUCCAAGUCGAUCUGGGUAAGCCUUUAUUUUCUCAGAUGAUCAAUUUGAAGCAACUGAAACAAAGCCCACAUCGGAGAAGGCUCGGAUGGGUCGGGCCAUUGCAACAAAGCUCUUCCCUACUUGACUAGGUUGCAAUACCAUGGAAUAUUAGCAAAAGUAGAAGCAAGAAAGCAGAAGAAGAAUCCAUUUCUAUUGCAAUAUACUCGAUUAUAAAUUAUUACGUAGAGAUAGAGAUGUUUCACAUCGUAUAUGCUAUCUCUAUUUAAUCCAGGACCCAAGACUUCUAAAUGAAUAAGCGCCUUUCAUUCUUUUGGAAUUUGUCAAAACAAAUGGGACAAACUAAAAAAGGAUUCCAGACCACCAACCUUCUGGACCCGAUUUUUUAUUGACUUUUGCUCACAUAUACAGAUGAUGUCAUUUUCUAGCAUGAAGAAAUUAACCGAACUCCAUUAAUUCUGAUAUAUAAAGUACAUUGCACAUGUAUAUCUCUUCCUGGAAGCAGCAUGACCAGGAUGCAUGGGUGAUACUUAAAAGUCUUAAAUAAAAUUUCCAAGUCACUGAAUUGAAAAUAGAUGUAGCUUAUGACAGCUGUGAAGAAGAAUUAGGGCAUACACUCAAAAGUCAAAUAAACCAGUAAAAAAAGGAAGAUGAAGCUUCCUAUCAAGAGUAAGGUUAUGUUUGGUCCAAGCAAGGAAAAAAACAAUUGUUCAAUAAAAUUAUUUUUUCAAUUUGGUUAUAUGAAAAUUUUCAAAAAAAAAACCAAAUAUAAUUCAAAUUAAUUAAAAACUUAUACAUUUUUAAAUUACUUAAUCUUUAUAUUGAUGAGUUAAAAUAAAUAUAAUAAGUUUGAGUUAGUAAAUAAAAGUAAUUUAUCGACUUCAAUUUUAUUUUUUAUUUUUAUUCAUAUUUUUGCUAUCUAUAUUUUUUUUCUUGCAUUUUCUCUCAAAUUUUUCGGGAAGCAAACAUAGCCUAAGAAUUUAUUCAUGAAAUUUUUUUUAAAUACUUAAUUCGUUUUUACAUCAUUUCAGAGGGUUAACAUAUAAAAGCAAACUAUAUUUUAUAAAAUUCAGUAGUUGAGGUUCAACAUGUAAUAUGGUUUUAUAAUGCUCUUUUUUUCAAUGUAUAUUUUAUGAUAUUAGAGUAGUGGCAUUGGUAACUAAUUAUUAAAAGAUACUUCGCAAGAAAUGAGCCAAAUACUCAACACAAAGUAGUCAACAAUAUUAAUUACUUCAGCAACCUUGAUGUAAGGGAAUCCAGCACAUUACAAGGAUUAUUGAAUUUUUCAAUUUUCAAAAUAUAUUUUUUGGAGAAGAAACAAAUAAUGAUAUUUAAUUAUAAGAUCAAUGAUUAUUUGUAACGAAUUUGUUAUUUAGUAGUAGGAUGGAUUUACUGCUGGUUGUGGGUGAGUAUUGAGAUAUUUAAUUCAACAUUCUAUAUAUAUAUGUCACAGUUGCUACAAAUUUUCUAUAAUAGUAAUAAAGCAGAAAUUUUAUUAUUUUUUUAACUUUUUAUUGAAAGUAAUUCUCUCAAAUUUCAAAUUAUUUCUUUUUUCUUUUUUUUUUUAAUUUAUUACUUAUUUCUUAAAUUUUUUUUAUUGAACAGAAAAUAUCAAAAUAUUUGGCUUUUUUUAAUGCUAUAAAUAACACUUGUGCUUUGUUUAUGUUUUUUUUACAAUUUAAUACUUAAUAAAAAUAAAAUAUUAAAAAAAUAAACAAUUUAAUAUUUAAUACUAUUAAACAUUAUUUAGCUUAAAUUCUAUUUAGAAUUAAGUAAAGAAAAACAAACACGGUCUAAGUCUUUUUAUAUUGACAUUUUAGUUAAACUCAAGUGCAAAAAGUGGCUUAUAGCAUAAUGAGUACUUCUUUGAUUGUGUUAAUCACCAAAAAUGUCAAGGUGGAUUUACUCCUUAUAGAUUGCAUAGAACACUUAAUUUUUCCUUUUAUAAAAAGAAGCAAGUAUAAUCUUAAGAAAUUGCAUCAAUGCAAAAAAACAGAUUGGAACUCUAAAAGACUUGUUGCUUUUAUCUCCUUGAUUGCAAGUUCAUUUACAUAUCUUUAGCCUGUGGACACCUUUAGAGCUAAGGAAAUCCUUGGAUUUAUGUCUUGUUACCGUGUGACCAUGAUAUUUUAUUAAUCGUUGUACACGGUGGAUCACAAUGCGUUAAUUGAGCCAUAUUUUGUAAGUAUGGUUUUUUACUUAAGUUAUAAUCACUUUUAGAUUACACUUGAUUCCUUAAUAAAAAGUAAAAUUUAUCUCCUGUUGGCAUUAUUUUGUGAUAUCCAUUAAAGAACUUAUGAGAAAAUAUAUUAUUUAGCAUUUCAUGUUUAAUACAUAAAUCUUUUAUGCUUAGAGAAGACAAUGGGACAGUGUUUUUUUUUUUUUUUUUUUUUUUUUUUUUUUUUUGUGCCCACCCUACCCCAACCCUAAUGGUAUAAGUUUAAAAUUUAAAUAAAUGGGUUUUGGACGGGUUUGAGAUUUUUUUAAAAACUCAAGACGGAUUCGAGACAGGUUUGAGUAUUGUCUUGUUCUACCCCAUUCCACCCGAUUAUAUAUAAAAUUUAAUUUUUAAAGUAAUUUAAUUUAAUUUUUAUUUUCCUACUUUUAAUAUAUAUAUAUAUAUAAUAACAAAAUACUUUUAUAAUAGGUUUUAAUAUUUUAAUUAUUUAUAAAAUAUAUUUAUUUUAAUGUAAUUAAAAAAAUAUUUAAAUUUAAAAAAAAAAAAGUUAAAGAGGACAAGGCAUGUCGGGUAUGGGAAUUUCUCAUACCCACCCCACUCUAUUUAAUUUUUUUUAAUGGGACGGGGAUGGGAAAUAUUUUAACCCAUUCCAAAUCCGUCUCGUUGUCAUCUCUAUUUAUGCUCAUUUGAAUUUAAAGUAAAAUGGAAAAAAAAUAAAAAGAAAAUAUAAGUAAAUAAAAAUUCAAGAGAAAAAAAAAUACAUCUAAACUUCUUGAAUCCUUUUUAUGUUUUUUUUUAAUAAUUUUAUUAUGUUUAUUUUCCCUUCUUAAUUUUCGAGUUAAGCCAAAUCGAAUAAUUUGAAUUUUUACACAAUUCCUUUUUAUAAUUUUUGCUAUGAUCCAAUCGGAGGAGUCUUAGAGAUCCAAAUUUCUCAUGAUUCAAUAACAACAAUGGGUCUCCCAUCUUCAACAACACUAGAAAGGCAACCAACCUUGAUCCUUUGUAGUAGUGGUCACCAUCCUAGAUUUGCUCAUUGACAAUAGCCGGUUCUCGAACGUAGGGACCACAAAUCAUGUGACCAAUGAUUUGAGCAAUCUGAAUCUUAGGUCUGAGUAUCAAGACACAAACAACGUUUACAUGGGUAAUGGUGUAGGUUUGGCAAAAUGGUAGGAAGAUGAAGCUGCAAAGAGUUUAUGUUUAAUUAUAAUUAUUUAUAUUUGAUUAUACAAGAAUAUAUUCAUCAAACAAAUUUUCUUUUGAUUUUUAUACACUUUAUAUAUAAUUUUAAAGGAUUUAUGCUGAUAAAAUAUGAGAUUAAUUCAAUGGUUCAACUGAUCCAAACAAAGCAAAUUUUGGUGCAAUUAGUGCAAUUGAAAAUUUCUUAAGCAAUAAAUGGAAAUCAAAUUAAUAGUAAAUUUCAUCAUCUAAUUGAUUUGGUUGACCUGCAACUAAGGUUUGAUUUAAUGAAUAUAUAUUAUUAUUGUACAAAUAAGCUCUGUGCUUAUUUGAUUUUUCUGAUGCAAAAAGAACUUUUGUAGAGAAAAAGAAAAUUGAGUGAUAGUUUGAUAGAAGAACAGUCCAUAUGUUAUAGGACACUUGCUAUUUACCCUUGAAAUUUAUAUAUAUAUGCAUUCCCCCAUUGAAUGUUCGUUUCUUUGAUGAUCAUCUAAGUAGUUGAUAUCAGUCAAAUAUUUUAUAAAAACACUUGUAUUGUUCUUGCUCAAAUUAACUUUAAAUUAUUUACUUUAAAAUGAAUUAUUAUUAGUGUUAAGUAGCCAUAAUUCUUUUUUUUUCUUUUUCUUUUUUCUUUUUUAUCUUCUUCAUAAAAAUUAAGAAACAUGGCUCAUAAACUCUCAAAACUCAAUUUUGUUAAUUUUUAAUAUUCUUCUUGGAUUAUCUUUUUCUAAGAUUUAGAGAUAUUUGAUUUAUUAUUUGUAUUUGAUGAUGCCAAGGGUUUUUAUCUUUUUUAAUAAUUUGAUUUUAAUUUCAAUAGGAAUCCUUUAUCUAGAAAUGUAGGUUUUUUAAAAUGUGUUUGAGAGUGUUUUUAUUUAAAAUGUUUUUAGUUGAAAUGAUUUUAUAGAAGUGUUUUUUACAGAAUCACCUAUCAAGUGCUUCUUCAAAAAGCACUAUAAGUAAUUUUUUUAACUUUUUAAUCACAAUAGGCUAGAGUUCUUCUCUCGUUGUGGUUGUUGCAUUGCCUCUAAUGUAUUCCUCCUUAUACAUAUUGGGUCUCUUAAGAUGAAAAGCAAUAAAGAUACAACCUAUUCGCAAACUCCCUAUACAGACUUCCCUCCAUGGUGGAAUAUCAUGAGGCUUGACCAAGGAGUUUAUGUGAUUCCCUUUUGUCAUGCAUGGGUGACACUUCACUAUUUGCAUAAAAAAUCAUUAGGUCAUCUCUACAUAUGUUGAAUCUUUUGUGGUAUUUCAUGUUGAUAGAUCAAUGUUCUUCAAUGGUGCUAAGAAUUGCUAGGUUUGACAAUAUAUUAAUGGGUACAUUGUUUUCCCUCAUUAUUUGCUCAAUUUGGAAGUUAUCAAACCACUAGCUUCCAAUUUGGCUUAGGUUAGGUAUGCUUCCAUCCAUUCAUCUUUGGUUUCAUAUUGGGUUAAAACUUGGCAAACCAUGAAUUUAUAAUCAGGAUAGACUUGAAACACUUACGAGCUCUAAGUAGGUGCAUGGUUUCUAACUUAUAAAGAAGGGCCUUAUAUUUAGCUUCAUUAUUGGAUGCUUUGAAACCUCAUGCAAUACUUUUUUCAAUGAUUCCAUAAAUGAAUCCAAUGUUUGCACCCUUCUAACUAGAGGUUUUAUCCGCAUAUAGGAUUAUAUGGAGGUUGUAUACAAUAGAUAGCAAGUCAUAGGCCCAAGUACUUAGUGUCUCAUUUUUAUUUACAUGGGGAUGAAUAGGAGUGUAGUUGACUCAAUGUAGUGGGAUAUUGAGUCAACUUCAAAAUUGGAUUCUAAAGGGGUCAAGACUGUCCUAUGGGUUCUAAUGGUCCUCAUUUGAGCUCAUAUAUCUUGUUGGGACUGUUUAUGAAGGUUGGAUUGACUCUUGGUUCAUUUAUGUACAUAAGGAUGUUUUGGUAAUUUCGCAAGGUUGCAUAAGAGUUAGUGAACGACAUUUUUAGAUUGGCCUAAUUGAUUAAUUAGACAACCUUAUUGGGUUAAUUAAUCAAUUAUAAUCCUUUUUGAGCUAGAUCAAGUGACCUAAGCCUAUGGUGGGCUCAAGUCACUUAAGCCUAGUAAGAAUUUUAUAAAUAGCCCCUUAAGGGUUAAGGUUUCAAGUUUUUUCUUCUGUUCAUUCUUUGAAUUUCAAAUAAGGAUUCCUAGUCUCUACCCUCCAAACUUUCACCAUUUGAAUGCCAAGCUUCAAGGUUGAGUCAUCCGGUGGAAGGACGUGGGUCUACGAGACUUCCAACGACUUCGUUUUGUUCUUCACCAAAAGAAAACAGUUUGGGAAUUCCAUAUCAAUUGUAAGCACACUAAACUUUUUUUCAAAAUCCUAGAAAAAAAUUUUGAUGCAUGUAUUCCAAUAUGCAUAGGAUUUAGAAAAGCCUAGGGAGUUUUACAUGUAUCUAACCUAAUCCUAAGACAAGAAACGGAACAAUCCAAAAUUCUCUUUAAGAUGUUGGAAUGCAAUUAACUCUCUACGGUAGAAUGUUAAAUCAACUUCAAAAUUAGAUUUUGAAUGAGCUUCUAUAUCUUUUAUGGUUCCCAAUAGUUCCUACUAGAGCUCACACUCCUUGAUGGCAUAUUGAGGGAUAUUUGGGUUUCAAUUCAUAUGUGUGCAUCAGAGUAUUUCAAUAAAAAUGUAAGGUUGCACAAGGGCUUAUAAAUUGUCUUUCUACAAUAGGUUAAUUAAUUAAUUGUAGCCUAAUAGGACUAAUUAAUUAAUUACAACCCAGUGAGUUAAAAUAAGCAAUGCAAGCCCGAGAUAGGCUCAAAUCACUGAAACUUACAAGGAGUCUAUAUAAACACUCUUAAGAUUUAGAGUUAGAUAGUCUAGCUUAUUACUGUCUUCUAAAGAGAACCCUAGCCCUUAUCCCUCUAGAGAAAAGUUCUCCCUUCUCCAUUGCUAAGAUCCAAGGAAGAACCAUCAAUUGAAAGAUCUUUAUGUCUUUGAGAUAGUUCUUCAUUGAUUGGAAUAGACGUGGAAACAUCCAAAUCUUAGCUAUGUGAUCUUUAUUGUUUUUUAUAACCUUUAAUAAAGUUUUAAGGGCCUAUCUAUUAAUUUAUACUGCACUUAGGAUCUUAGUUGCAUGCACCCUUAAGAGAUCCAAGGCUUGGAUUAGAUUUAUCCAAGAAUCCAACCAGUAGGCUUUUCCUAUUGUUUUGCAGCUUUUUGCCACAUACUUCCAAAGGUGGUUGGAGGUAUCUAUUUAGCGACAAUUGUUAGAUAAUGACUACUUUAGAGGUCAUCAUCGUAUGUCAAGGCCCUCAUUUUUGGGUUGGGUGAUUUUUUGGACCUUCAAUCCUUGUACCAUCAUUUUGUAUCAUCAACUAGAGCUGGCUAGUUCUCUUUUUCUAGCCUCUGAAUCAAGCUCUUUCACUCCUAAAAUCCUCCAUUCCUUCUUUUUGACCAAUUCCUAAUAUAAUCAGACUAAAUCUCAUGUUCAUGGUAUUGCUCACCCUAUGAUUACUCAAUCCAAGAAAUUGUUAUUUAAGCCUAAGGUCUACUUGACUAUUAAUUUUACCAUUGUGGAGCCUAGCACUAUGCAAGAAGCUUUACAAAUUCAUCAUUAGAUGGAACCUAUGGAAUAAGGGUAUACUGCCUUAAUUAAAAAUAAGAUCUAAUCUCCAAUUCAAAAGUUAAUUGAUAGAAGAAUAGUUUGUUGCAAAUGGGUAUUCAAAAUCAAAAGGAAUCCUAAUGAGACUAUACAACAGUACAAGUCACAAUUGAUGGCUAAAAGAUAUUAGUAAUCUCCUGGUUUUAAUUUCAUUGAGACCUUCGGUCCAAUGGUUAAACUGACAACAAUUCAUGUGGUGCUAAUAACUUUAGAUAGAAAUUGGGAGAUCAAACAAUUGGAUAUAAAUAAUGCACUCUUGAAUGGGAUCCCCCAAGAACUGUAUUUUUGGAUCAAUCUCUUAGGUUUGAACAACAUGAUCAAUACGAACUUCUAGUACACAAGCUACAUAGUACUAUAUGGCUUGAAACAAGUCUCACAAGUUUGGUUUGACAAUCUUAGAUCAUCACUGUAGAACUAAAUCUUAUCUCCUCGAGUUUUCUUUUCAUUCUAUUAUUGUCCUCUUGAAUAAAAACUGCUCUCUUAAGGAUCUUGGAUCCCUUAACUACUUAGAAAUUAAGGUAAAGAAAACAGAAAUUGGAAGUUUACUUCUUUCUCGAGAAAAAAAUAUAACAGAACUCCUACAUAAAGCUCAUAUGGACAUAGAGCAUUUUCCACUUCAAUGAUGCGAACUCUACAGAUUGCUUAUGAUGAUGACUCUAUGAAGAAUCCAACACUACUUAUAGAAGCCAAGAGGAUGCAUGUAGUAUGUAACUAUUACCAAACGCGAGAUUGCCUAAUGUAAACAAGGUAUCUUAAUAUAUGCAACACCCUUCAUAUUGUCAUUGGAAGUCUGUAAAGAGCAUCCUAGGUAUCUGAAAGCGACUAUUGAUUUUGGAAUUCAUUGGCAUCAGAUCCACAUAAUAGAAAAUCUAAUCUGGAUUUUGUAUCUUUCUUAGCAACAAUCCUAUCACCUGGAGCUCAAAGAAGGAAACUACAAUCUCAAGAUCAAGCACUAAGGCUGGAUAUAGAUGUCUAGCUAAUUCUACAGAAAAAAUAGUUUGGCUUCAAUCCUUUAUCAAAGAACUUAGCAUUCUACAAACCAAAGUUCCAAUUCUUUAGUGUGACAAUCUAAUUGUUGUUUCUUUAAGUGCUAAUUUUGUCUAACAUUUAGAACCCAAUGUAUGGAACUUGACUUAUAUUUUGUUCAAGAAAUUAAGAUCCUUGAGAAUUUCUUUUAUCAUAUUGUUGAUAUCUUCACCAAACCACGGUCUACUGCCUAUGUGGUGUCACCCACCAACCACACUCAACUUGAGGGGGCUAUUGGAGAUGAUGCAAGAAGAUAGAAAAGAUGAAACUGAAACUCUGCCCUCUUUGUUAGAGAAGCAAGAGAGAGAAAUUGAAUAUAUAUAUAUAUAUAUGUAUUGUUCAAACAACUCUAUUACAACAGAUGGAGACAGACUGUAAUACCAGCUAGUACAACUAAAAUACAGUUGGUAAAAUAACAAACGAAUAACAAUAAAGCUAACAAAUAACAAGUGGGCUUCAUCUCGUGAGAUCAAUAACUAACUCCUCUUUUCUUGGCUUAUCAUCCCCCCUCAAGUGAAAGGGUCUUAGAGCUAUACAAAGCUGAGAUUUGAGGGACAAGAACCUUGAACUUGUGAGAUGCUUAGUCAAUAAAUCUGUUGGCUGCUCUUUAGUGGGAACAAAGUGCAGUUGUAUCUUUCCUCUCAUGACUUGAUCUCAUAUAAAAUGAAGGUCUAUUUCUAUGUGUUUAGUUCUAGCAUGAAACACAAGGUUCUUUGCCAUAUGGUAAGCACUGAUAUUAUCAUACCAAAGUAGAGAUAUUGCAGAUAUUGGCACACAUAGCUAUUGCAGUAAGACUUGUAUCCAAACAAUCUCAAUCGUAGCGAAAACAAGGCCACGAUACUCAGACUCUACACUAUUGCAAGACACUACUUUUUGUUUGGUAGAGGACCAAGAGACUAAGUUACCUCCUAGAUAAACGAGAUAUCCACUUGAGUUGCCCCUAUCAUCAAGGUGAACACCCCAAUCUGCAUCUGUGAAUCCCUAUAUUGUCAAGUUACUUGAAGGACUUAACAGGAGCCCAUCUUGCAUUGUUCCUCUUAGAUACUGAAGUAUUCGUUUGACUGAGAGCCAGUGAGUUGUGGUUGGGUGUUACAUAAAUUGUCAUGCCUUAUUGACAACAAAGGCUAUAUCAGGUCUUGUCAAGGUAACAUACUGAAGUGCCUCUACUACACUUCGAUAAUGAGUAACAUCUGCCAUAGGAUCUCCAUCAAAUUUAGACAAGUUCUUCCCAACAGCACCAGGUGUUUUUACCGGUUUGGUAUCAAACAUUUCAGUUCUAUGAAGCAGAUCUGAAAUGUAUUUGGUUUGGCUCAAAUGCAUAGAGCCUUCAUUGUAAGAAACCUCUAUACCGAAAAAGAAUGAGAGUUAACCCAAGUCGCGUAAGGCAAAAACUAAAUCAAGUUUAGCUAUGAGAGAAUAAAUCUAUGUGGAGGAGCUACCUGUUUUGAUUAUAUCAUCAACAUAGACAAGAACUAUCAAAGUAGUGGCCUGACCAAAGUGUAGAAACAUAGAACUAUCAGUCCGAGACAUGUUGAAUCCCCACUGAAGAAGAGCAUAGCUGAGUCUUUGAAACCAAGCUCGUGGGACUUGUUUCAAGCCAUAUAAAGCCUUCUUCAAUCUACACACUCUAUUUGGGAAUUGAGUGUCGAAGUAUCCAGGAGGUUGAGACAUAUAGACUUGUUCUUCUAACUCACCAUUGAGGAAGGCAUUGUGAACAUCAAGCUGCCGAAUUUCCCACUUAAAACUGAGAGCAACAGUAAGUAUGAUGCGAAUAGUGGCAACCUUAACUACUGGACUAAAGGUCUCAAAAUAGUCCAGACUAUGAGUCUGAUUAUAUCCUUUUGCCACAAGCCUAGCUUUAUACCUCUCUCUACUCCCAUCUGGCUUAUGUUUCAGUUUAUACACCCACUUAUAGCCAAUCACAUUGACAUCGGGUGGUUGUUCAACAAGAUCCCAAGUAUGGUUUCGAUGAAGAAUAGCAAUCUCCAUUUCCAUAGCUUUAGUCCAGUUUGGAUCUUUGAAGGCCUGUUUAAGAGUAGAUGGUUCUGAAACCUUUAUGGUAGAGAGAUCAAGAAUGGUCUUUUUCUUGGUUAUACCACGCAUGGACCUUGUUGUCAUUCGUGGAGCAGGAGCAGUGACUUGAGGUUCUGGAACAGAUUCAGCUGGCAAAUCUGUAGUAGGAGAUUAACUAGAUGUGUCCAGAGGUGAAGAAGAGUCUAUAGGAAUAGGACUUUCACUUAUGGAUAGAGAAUGAGAAUCUAUGGAAGCAUGAUUGAUAUUUGAAUCUGGGAGAAGACAUGGAGUAGGAAAAUAAGUAGGAACUAUAAUGGCAGGGGUAGAGCCUUCUGUUGAAGUAUCAUUAGACAAAAUGGAAGACUUGGACUGAGCAAGUGGGAAAGUUGAUUCAUCAAAGACCAUGCGGGGAGUAAUAUAGACUCUUCCAGUUGCAUAAUCAAGACAUAAAAACCCCUUGUGAUUCAAACUAUAGCCAUGAAAAAGACAUUGGACAGAUCUGUACUGCAAUUUAUGAGUGUUGUAUGGCCGAAUGAAAGGAUCACAGAGGCAGCCAAACACACGAAGAGAUUUAUAAUCAGGAUGCCUUCUAAAAAGAGUGAAAGAAGGAGAAUCAUACUUGAGAACUUUGCUUGACAUUUGAUUGAUAAGAAAAGUUGUUGUCUGAAAAGCGUAGUGCCAGUACUUCAUUGGCAAGGAAGCAUGAGAUAACAAAGCUAACCCAGUCUCAACUACGUGUCUGUGCUUCCGCUCAACUCUACCAUUUUGAGCUGAGUUGUAUGGACAGGAGAAUCGAUGGGCAAUACCAACUGCUUGAAGAAAAGACAUAAAAGAUCGAAAUUCUCCACCAUUAUCAGACUGUAAGUACUUAAUUUUCAUGUCAAAUUGAUUCUCCAUUUGAAGCUUGAAUCGCUUAAAGAUGGGAAGGGCCUGAUCCUUUGUUUGUAAUGAAUAAAACCAAGUGUACCUGGAAUAAUCAUCUACAAAAAGAAUGAAAUAUUUCGCUCCAGAUGUAGAUUUAACUAAGGCAGGUCCCCAAAUACCCGUAUAAACAAGUUCUAAAGGUUUAGAUGCACGAAAAUUUGAGAGUUGAGUGGGUAGUCUAUGACUUUUAGCUAACUGACAAUCAAAACAAAUAGUAGAUUUAUAUUUCCCAGAAGCAACAUUACAAGUAUUCAUGACUUUUGAAACAAUGUCAGGAGCAACAUGGCAUAGUCUAUUAUGCCAUAACUCUACUUUAUUUUCAACAGUACUAGAAAAAUGGGAAUGAAAAGCAGAAGCAUUAUUAAUACUACUGCAAGGUUUCUUGUUGCUGAACACAGGAAACUUGUAAAGCCCAUUUUCAAGCUUACCUUGAGCAAGAACCAUCUUCGUAUGUCAAUCCUUCACAAAGAAAGCAUUAGAAUGAAACUCAAUCAAGGCAUUAUUAUCUGAGUAGAACUUAGCCACACUAAUCAAAUUAGUUGAGAUAAAGAGGACAUGAAACACAUUCUUGAGUUGAAAAGAAUGUGUAUGAGAAUGAAGUUGUUUAGAGCCAAUAUUGGAGAUGGAGAGAUGCUUACCAUUACCAAUAGUGACUCUAUCUGUUCAUGUGUAUGGUGAAGUACUGGUUAGAUUUCCCAAAUUCUGAGUCAGAUGGUGACUUGCUCCAGAAUCCAAAUACCAACUCUCAUCUGUAGGACUAUUAAAAGAAGAAGCAACCAUAGCAGGUAUAUUGUUUUGAUUCCCAUUAUUCAAAGAAUGAGAAGUAGUCGUCUGACCACCUUGAAAAGAGAUAUCAAACCUAUGAUAACAUAUCUGAGCAGUGUGGCCAAACUUACCACAUAACUGACAUUGAGGUUUCUCACUUGGACUGGAAUUUUUCCUUCCACCUUGUCCAUUUCUACCUCCACGUCCACAACCUCUGUAGGUGUAAUUAUUGUUAUUUGGAGCAUAGCCUUGUCCACGACCUCCAUUAAACUUCCUUCCACCACCUAUGUUAUUAGAGGAAGAGGCAUAAUUGGCAGACAUUUGUUCAAUAGAGCUUUGUUGCUCAAGAUGAUGCUCAAAGGCUAAUAGCGUACUAUGUAUAGCUUCAAAAGAGAUCUUAUCAUCUCUAAUGUUGAUAGCAGUAACAACGACAUUGUAGUCGGAUCCAAGACCUCUAAGAAGAUUCAUAACCUGAUCUUGUUUUGAGACAGGUUCUCCAAUAGCAACUAGAUUAUCAGCAGCUCCUUUGAUCUUCAUUAUGUAGUCUAUCAUUUACAUUGAUCCUUUCUUUGUGGAUUGUAAUUCGAGUCUGAGUUGCAUUAUCCUAGCUCCUGAAGAAGGUGAAAAAAAUACUUUCCAAGGCAUUCCUAGCAGAGUGAGAAGUAUUAUGGCCUAUGAUCUGUGCCAUGAUACUUGGUGUGAGCAACGAGUACAUCCAGCUGAGGAUUGUUCAAUCUUGUCUCCUCCAAGCAACAAAAGCUGGAUUGAUCACUCCUGGACUCGGAUCUUUCUCCGGACAGAUAGAGGUUCCAUCAAUGAAAUCCUCAAAGCCAUUAGCAAAAACAACAUUAUCAAUAUGAGAUCUCCACAGGAUGUAAUUCGUCCGAUCAAGUUUCACAGGCAGAGUGUGAUUAAGCAUCUGAUAAGAAGGAAUGGAUGCCAUUGUUGAGCUUUUUCCAGAUCCAAUCGAACCAGAGGAAGAAGAAGAUUGUGUUGAAGUAGAGGCCAUGUUUGGAUCGAGAGAAACAGAGAGAAAGUGAGAAAGAGAAGAAAAAUUCACACCUUGAACGUGAGCUCUGAUACCAAGACAGAAAAGAUGAACUAAAACUCUGCUCUCUUUGUUAGAGAAGCAAGAGAGAGAAAUUGAAUAUAUAUAUUGUUCAAAGAACUCUAUUACAAUAGAUGGAGACAGACUGUAAUACCAGCUGGUACAACUAAAUUAAUACAGUUGGUAAAAUAACAUACCAAUAACAAUAAAGCUAACAAAUAACAAGUGGGCUUCAUCUCAUGAGAUCAGUAACUAACUCCGCUUUUCUUGGCUUAUCACAAGAUUUGCUCCAUAACCGAAGAAAAAUUAGUCGUUGUCUAUUCUAGAAUAUUCAAUGCAGCAGAAUUGUAUAGGGAUUGCAACAUCAUAAAAACAAUGUUUGAUCAAUGCUGAGAAGUAAGCAAACUUCAUUUUUUGAUAAUAUUUUACUCCAUACAUACUUGAACUGAAAACCUAACAUGAGGUAUUGUCAAAAUAACAUCGAUCUUAAUCUGGCGAUAAUAAAGAUUAAAAGCAUAUGAGGCAGACAUGCGCUAACAGAUGCAUGAAACUCAUGGGCUGCUAGGUAGAGGUGGUGGUGGUGGUGGUGGAGAUAGUGAAUGUGGUGAUGAUUGCAGUAGCCCAACAUGAGGUGGUGAGGGAGGAGGCACAUAAAAUUGAUGCGGCUUCCCAGGCUGAGGAGGAGGCUUCCACAUGGGACUCCCAACUCGAUCUGGGUAUACCUUCAUUUGCUUCAACAAUCGAUUUGAAGCAGCGGGCACAAAAUCCAUAUCAGAAGCAGCUUCUAAGGGUCGUGCCAUCGCCACGUAGCUCUUACCUGUGUGACUGAUCUGCAACACCACACUAUGAAUUAAUAUAACUAAAAGCAAGAAAAGAGCAUUCAUUGCAGUCACUUUGCUAUGGCAUUAUGCUUGAUCUUAUGUAUAUAUUAUAUAGAUGGAGAGGUCAAUUAGUUGACUCAUUGCUCGAGAAAUAUCAGAUAUGUUACCAA
RNAcentral lists this long non-coding RNA (41510 nucleotides) under Vitis vinifera (wine grape). RNAcentral's name for it is "long non-coding RNA (VVIN_LNC004548)". Lineage: Eukaryota; Viridiplantae; Streptophyta; Magnoliopsida; Vitales; Vitaceae. The record is from RNAcentral.